Non-coding RNA from Phrynosoma platyrhinos (Desert horned lizard), 72 nucleotides. The record is from the annotation of a GenBank genome assembly. NCBI's taxonomy places the organism in Eukaryota, Metazoa, Chordata, Lepidosauria, Squamata, Phrynosomatidae.
GCGAGAGUGGCAUAGUGGUUUGAGCACUGGACCAUGGCUCUAGAGACCAGGGUUCGAAUCCAAGUUGAGCCA